Molecule: unclassified non-coding RNA, 88 nt
Filed under: Trypanosoma cruzi
Lineage: Eukaryota; Euglenozoa; Kinetoplastea; Trypanosomatida; Trypanosomatidae
Description: trans-spliced leader sequence
Source: RNAcentral
AACUAACGCUAUUAUUGAUACAGUUUCUGUACUAUAUUGUUUCCCCUCGUUUUUUUUUUUUGUUUUGUGGCCGUGCUCGCUCUCAUGC